This 76-nucleotide transfer RNA is filed under the name Nitrospinota bacterium. RNAcentral describes it as "tRNA-Thr". It matches the Rfam family "tRNA". Rfam says of the family: Transfer RNA (tRNA) molecules are approximately 80 nucleotides in length. Their secondary structure includes four short double-helical elements and three loops (D, anti-codon, and T loops). Further hydrogen bonds mediate the characteristic L-shaped molecular structure. tRNAs have two regions of fundamental functional importance: the anti-codon, which is responsible for specific mRNA codon recognition, and the 3' end, to which the tRNAs corresponding amino acid is attached (by aminoacyl-tRNA synthetases). tRNAs cope with the degeneracy of the genetic code in two manners: having more than one tRNA (with a specific anti-codon) for a particular amino acid; and 'wobble' base-pairing, i.e. permitting non-standard base-pairing at the 3rd anti-codon position. Lineage: Bacteria; Pseudomonadati; Nitrospinota. The record is from RNAcentral.
GCUGGCGUAGCUCAGCAGGUAGAGCAACUGAUUUGUAAUCAGUGGGUCGGGGGUUCAAAUCCCUUCGCCAGCUCCA